This 49-nucleotide non-coding RNA is filed under the name Schistosoma mansoni. The record is from RNAcentral. Lineage: Eukaryota; Metazoa; Platyhelminthes; Trematoda; Strigeidida; Schistosomatidae.
AUCCAGCUGACGAGUCUCGGACCAGGACGAAACGUGCUUCAAAGUGGAU